Molecule: ribosomal RNA, 383 nt
Filed under: uncultured eukaryote
Lineage: Eukaryota
Description: partial 18S ribosomal RNA
Rfam family: Eukaryotic small subunit ribosomal RNA
Source: RNAcentral
CAAUAGCGUAUAUUAAAGUUGUUGCAGUUAAAAAGCUCGUAGUUGGAUUUCUGGUGGGAGCGAUCGGUCUGGCGCUUAGCGCGAGUACUUGCAUCGUCUCCGGCCAUCCUUGGGGAGAGUCUGUCUGGCAUUAGGUUGUCGGGCAGAGGAUCCUCAUCGUUUACUGUGAAAAAAGUAGAGUGUUCAAAGCAGGCUUAUGCCGUUGAAUAUAUUAGCAUGGAAUAAUAAGAUAGGACUUUGGUACUAUUUUGUUGGUUUGCGCACCAAAGUAAUGAUUAAUAGGGACAGUUGGGGGUAUUCGUAUUCCGUUGUCAGAGGUGAAAUUCUUGGAUUUACGGAAGACGAACUACUGCGAAAGCAUUUACCAAGGAUGUUUUCAUUAA